GCAAGAGAUAAAGUGCCUUAAAAUCA
Molecule: non-coding RNA, 26 nt
Filed under: Drosophila melanogaster (fruit fly)
Lineage: Eukaryota; Metazoa; Arthropoda; Insecta; Diptera; Drosophilidae
Source: RNAcentral